UAAGUCCCGCAACGAGCGCAACCCUUGAUCUUAGUUGCCAGCAUUCAGUUGGGCACUCUAAGGUGACUGCCGGUGACAAACCGGAGGAAGGUGGGGAUGACGUCAAAUCAUCAUGCCCCUUAUGACCUGGGCUACACACGUGCUACAAUGGACGGUACAAAGGGCUGCAAACCCGCGAGGGGGAGCCAAUCCCAGAAAACCGUUCUCAGUUCGGAUUGCAGGCUGCAACUCGCCUGCAUGAAGCCGGAAUCGCUAGUAAUCGCGGAUCAGCAUGCCGCGGUGAAUACGUUCCCGGGCCUU
This 300-nucleotide ribosomal RNA is filed under the name uncultured bacterium. Its description in RNAcentral is "bacterial SSU rRNA". It matches the Rfam family "Bacterial small subunit ribosomal RNA", at positions 1081 to 1382 of the family's 1533-position model. The record is from RNAcentral.